GGUAGCCAACUUUUCCAGGCUCUGGAGGGCAGGGGCAGCGCUCGGCAGGGCGACGAGCCGGGACAGCGCCGGAGCCGCGCUGCGAGCCGAGGGCCAGGAGCCCCCGCCUGCCGGGGCGCCGCGCUCCUCCUCUGCCCGCGGCCCUGCCCCGCGUCCCGCCCCGCGCCCCCCUUCUCCUCGCCGAAGGGGCCGCGGCACCGGGGGCCGGGCCGGGCCGGGCCGUGUCUGUUGGGGGCGGCGAGGGGCCGAGGCGGCGGGGCGGGCAGGAGCGGGCACCGGCGCGGCUCCGCUCGGCUCCUCUCCGGCUCCCGCCGGGCCCGUCGGCGCCGGCCGGCCCCGGCGCGGCAGGGCACGAUGGCGCCCGGGCUGGGGCCGUGGCUCCUGGCCUUGUGGCUGGCCGCGGGGCCGGCAGGUGCCCUUUCUCAGGUGCAGACAGAGGCCUCCGGCCCCACUGUGUGGGAUGUCUCCGAGUCUGUCACGCUUACCUGCCACAUCUCUGGUGCACCCAUCAG
Molecule: non-coding RNA, 512 nt
Organism: Phalacrocorax carbo (great cormorant)
Lineage: Eukaryota; Metazoa; Chordata; Aves; Suliformes; Phalacrocoracidae
Source: RefSeq, a predicted model, not a curated record